GAGGGAGGCCGCGUGCGGAUGCGGAUGCGGCGGCGAGGGGCACUCCGCCACGGCGGAGGGCGGGACGCGGCCGGUGAGCGGGAGGAGCGCGGAGGGGCGGAGCGAGAUCGGCGCGAAGGCGGAGGCCGGGGCGAGGGAGGCGAGGAGGGCGUCGUCGAGCGCGAAGCGGCGGGCCUCGGCAAGGAGCACGACGGAGGGAGGGGAGCCGCGGCGGCGCAGGGGAGAGGCGCGUCGACUUCGUGGUGCUGGGGGCGGAGGGAGCCGUGGCAGCGGAGGAGAGGCGGGGCGGCGGAGGGAGCCGCGGCGGUGGAGGAGAGCCGCGGCGGCGCAGGGGAGAGGCGCGGCGGCGGAGGAGAGCCGCGGCGGCGAAGGGAGCGCUCGGGAGGAAGGGGCGCUCGCGACGGGAGGCAGGCGGAUGGGUCUCGGGAGUAAAGAAACAAUCGUUUUUUCUGACCGGUGGCAAGGGGAGCAUCAUGCCUUAUGUAUACGAUAAAUGUGGAAAUAUUAGGAAGAGGGGGCAUAUAAAACAAUAUCGGAGGAAAAUCCCUCAUAAAGUGAGCACCAGGGUUUGAGCCUAGGUGCCACGUUCCUCUCCAAGGCACAACGCAAGAUCUCCACUGACAGAGAAACUACCGUUCAAAGUGGUGGCCAGCUAGCCUGCCUAGGCACUAAGCAUCACCCUACAGCCUGCCAAGCACCUAUGGAUGUUAAGAGCGUGUUAUUGAAGAGAGCUAAGCUGACAGUCACCAUGAUGCACAAAGGCACAUUAUGCAGCAAGUUUACCAUGACAAAAUUCUGACCAGAUUUUAACAAAUGAUGAACAAAACUGUAGAUCUAUUGAUCCUACUAUCACAGAAGGUGAUCAAUGAACGCUUGUAUCCUGAUCAGUUACACUAUGAGAACUGAACAACAACAAUACUUGAAGAUGUCAAUUUUUCAUCAAA
Long non-coding RNA from Panicum hallii, 944 nucleotides. RefSeq lists it as uncharacterized. Lineage: Eukaryota; Viridiplantae; Streptophyta; Magnoliopsida; Poales; Poaceae. The record is from RefSeq and is a predicted model, not a curated record. The transcript has 4 exons.